CUGACAUUUAAUAAAUUUGUUAUAUUACCGCGGCAGUGAGUUAGAGAUUGAUGCUUGUACGUGUAUGUAUGGUUGUUCCAAGACGUUUUGUCAGGUGCAUAUGGUACACGAUAAAUUGGAACUGUUUUCAAUGGGUCGUGACCUACCAGCAUUUUCAAGGAGGGAAGAAAACCGCGAAGAACCCUCAGUCACGCUGGGAGUGUUUGCCAUAUCGGUGAUAUUGAUUGGAUUAAAGCGGUGCUUUACUAAUUACCACUUCCGGUGUUUUUAACCGGCAGGGAUACCAGCAAACAAUUUAGGAAUCCGAAGAAUGCACGGUUUUGUGGGAAACCCAGAAAGAAACAACUGCAGUAUGACUAUAAUGGAAAAUGGUACGAAAUUAAAUAUCAGAGGUAAAGCUUUCACCUCUCAUGUAAGCACCCGUCAGAAUUAUUAAUCCAGUGUGAAAAAUAUAAAGACAGGUAUGAAAAUUUAUUGAA
This is a long non-coding RNA of Cryptotermes secundus, 479 nucleotides long. RefSeq lists it as uncharacterized. The transcript is spliced from 3 exons. The record is from RefSeq and is a predicted model, not a curated record. NCBI's taxonomy places the organism in Eukaryota, Metazoa, Arthropoda, Insecta, Blattodea, Kalotermitidae.